AACGAACGCUGGCGGCAUGCCUAACACAUGCAAGUCGAACGAGACCUCCGGGUCUAGUGGCGCACGGAUGCGUAACGCGUGGGAACCUGCCCUUAGGUUCGGAAUAACUCCCUGAAAGGGGUGCUAAUACCGGUUAAUGUCUUCGGACCAAAGAUUUAUCGCCUUUGGAUGGGGCCGGGUUGGAUUAGCUAGUUGGUAGGGUAAUAGCCUACCAAGGCGACGUUGCAUAGCUGGUCUGAGAGGAUGAUCAGCCACACUGGGACUGAGACACGGACCAGACUCCUACGGAAGGGAGCAGUGGAGAAUAUUGGACGAUGGGCGCAAGCCUGAUCCAGCAGUGCCGCGUGAGUGAUGAAGGCCUUAGGGUUGUAAAGCUCUUUUACCCGGGGUGAUAAUGACGGUACCGGGAGAAUAAGCUCCGGCUAACUCCGUG
This 433-nucleotide ribosomal RNA is filed under the name uncultured bacterium. RNAcentral's name for it is "partial 16S ribosomal RNA". It matches the Rfam family "Bacterial small subunit ribosomal RNA", at positions 29 to 507 of the family's 1533-position model. The record is from RNAcentral.